RNAcentral lists this long non-coding RNA (246 nucleotides) under Elaeis guineensis (African oil palm). Its description in RNAcentral is "long non-coding RNA (EGUI_LNC066725)". Lineage: Eukaryota; Viridiplantae; Streptophyta; Magnoliopsida; Arecales; Arecaceae. The record is from RNAcentral.
CCAUCACUGAAUUAAAAAUUUAAUUAGUCCAGCACCAAAGCACAGUGAGUAGCUUGCAAGUCACUGAGGUGAUCUCAGGUCUAAGGGAUACUUAUACCUCUAUCCCAUCAGAGACAUUCUCGAUAGCAGAAUGCUCUAAAGUUGGUCAUGUUUAAUGAUGAUGUACCCUUAUAUCUCACCUGUAUAUCAUAUCAAUGUCUCCACACUCUUUGGUUAAGAGGACAACCAAUCCAUAUGGCCUACAGC